This 253-nucleotide ribosomal RNA is filed under the name uncultured bacterium. RNAcentral describes it as "partial 16S ribosomal RNA". It matches the Rfam family "Bacterial small subunit ribosomal RNA", at positions 524 to 776 of the family's 1533-position model. The record is from RNAcentral.
UACGGAGGGUGCGAGCGUUAUCCGGAAUUACUGGGUUUAAAGGGUGCGUAGGCGGCUUUGUAAGUCAGGAGUGAAAGUUUGCGGCUCAACCGUAAAAUUGCUUUUGAUACUGCGAGGCUAGAAUUAGGAUGAGGUCAGCGGAAUGUGGCAUGUAGCGGUGAAAUGCAUAGAUAUGCCAUAGAACACCAAUUGCGAAGGCAGCUGGCUAGACCUGGAUUGACGCUGAGGCACGAAAGCGUGGGGAGUGAACAGG